Protopterus annectens (West African lungfish) is the source of this 685-nucleotide long non-coding RNA. RefSeq lists it as uncharacterized. NCBI's taxonomy places the organism in Eukaryota, Metazoa, Chordata, Ceratodontiformes, Protopteridae. The transcript has 6 exons. The record is from RefSeq and is a predicted model, not a curated record.
GGGCAGCAUCAGCGAACUUACAGUACUGGCGGUGGCAGUGGUAUGCAUCAUUUUUCUACUCUUACUUCUAGGGAUUAUUGGCUGGCGAUAUUUAUCAAGACAAAAUAAAGCAAAAUAUGAAAAUACAGCUGGAGCACCACAGAAGCAUUCCAAAUAUCUGGAAGAAGACCCUAUCUAUGCGACUGUGAAUGAUGACAUACCUGACAUAAAGAAUAAUCCACAAACAGGUAAAACUGACAAAACGUACGCUUUGCUGGGUUGUACAACAGGAAAUACGUAUUUUGUCAGAGGUGACAACCCCGACCACUCUUUGCAUAAUUCAAAACAAGCCAGCCCCUAUUCAACAUAUGCUUUGUUGGGUUCAGUAGCAGAGAACAAAGAUUCCAUCACAGCCGACAUCGACAACCAGUAUGCUUUGUACUCUACAGUUAAUGAUCUAGAAUAAUGACUCCAUUAAAAGACUUUUUUUCGACGGGACAUGCAUUGUGCUUUUGCAAAGAUCAUCAUAAAACUGGUUAAAAUGUGUUACUCUGAAAACCGAGUUUGUCUUUGUCUCUUACUGUAAGAAGUUCUUUGGUACUUUUAUAUCACAUCAAAUUUAUAUCAUAUUUCCUGGUUUCGAAUACAAAUCAGAUGAAAAUGAGUGCAAUAAUGUUAUUCCAAUGACAUAAAUUAAAUAGAAAUG